This 811-nucleotide ribosomal RNA is filed under the name uncultured bacterium. Its description in RNAcentral is "bacterial SSU rRNA". It matches the Rfam family "Bacterial small subunit ribosomal RNA", at positions 8 to 796 of the family's 1533-position model. The record is from RNAcentral.
AGAGUUUGAUCAUGGCUCAGAACGAACGCUGGCGGCGUGCUAAUACAUGCAAGUCGAACGAGAAAGUGGCUUCGGCCAUGAGUAAAGUGGCAGAGGGUGAGUAAUACAUAGGUAACCUACCCUCGAGAUAGGGAUAACCUUCCGAAAGGAGGGCUAAUACCGAAUAAGACCACAGUUACUACGGUAACAGGGGUCAAAGGAUGGCCUCUACUUGUAAGCUAUCGCUUGAGGAUGGGCUUAUGCACCAUUAGCCUGUUGGUGAGGUAACGGCUCACCAAAGCUUUGAUGGUUAACUGAUCUGAGAGGUUGAUCAGUCACACUGGAACUGAGACACGGUCCAGACUCCUACGGGAGGCAGCAGUAGGGAAUAUUGCGCAAUGGAGGAAACUCUGACGCAGCGACGCCGCGUGGGUGAUGAAGGCUUUCGGGUCGUAAAGCCCUGUCGGAAGGGAAGAAAAUCGGUAUGGCUAAUAUCCAUACCGCUUGACGGUACCUUUAAAGGAAGCACCGGCUAACUACGUGCCAGCAGCCGCGGUAAUACGUAGGGUGCAAGCGUUGUUCGGAAUCAUUGGGCGUAAAGCGCGUGUAGGUGGUUAUGUAAGUCGGGUGUGAAAGCCCUGGGCUCAACCGAGGAAGUGCAUCCGAAACUACAUAGCUAGAGGACGGUAGAGGAAGGUGGAAUUCCUAGUGUAGAGGUGAAAUUCGUAGAUAUUAGGAGGAAUACCGGUGGCGAAGGCGGCCUUCUGGGCCGGACCUGACACUGAGACGCGAAAGCGUGGGUAGCAAACAGGAUUAGAUACCCUAGUAGUCC